RNAcentral lists this ribosomal RNA (434 nucleotides) under uncultured prokaryote. RNAcentral's name for it is "partial 16S ribosomal RNA". The record is from RNAcentral.
CCCUAUGGGGCGCAGCAGGCGGAAGGUGGAAAGUAUUCGGAAGCGAGGGAAUUGAUCACCAAGGUAUUGGAACCCGGAGUGGACCCUGAGAACCAGAAGGCCAAACAGUUGCUUCGGGACCUGGAUGAUCCGGACAUUUACUCCACGGCCGUUACGCCUGACCACAUUGAAAAGGUCAAGCAGGUGGAGAAGGCGUUGAAGGCGGCAGAGGGCCACAUCCGGAUCGGCGACUACGACGGCGCUCAGAAAAAGUAUGAGGAAGUUUUGAAUUAUGACGCCUACAAUUCGGCUGCCAGGCGGGGAAUGCAAGAGAUCGAGAGACAUCGGCGUCUCUAUUUCGACACGGCCUAUGACCACACCCGUACGAAGUUUCUGAAUGAAGUGGCCAAGCAAUGGGAAACGGCGGUGCCCAAAUACGAUGUUGGCGGGAGGGC